GACAGUGGUAGCUCAGUGGUUAAGCUGUUGGCCAACUGAUUGGAAGAUUGUGAGUUCAAAUCUCAUCACUGCCA
This is a non-coding RNA of Pangasianodon gigas (Mekong giant catfish), 74 nucleotides long. Lineage: Eukaryota; Metazoa; Chordata; Actinopteri; Siluriformes; Pangasiidae. The record is from the annotation of a GenBank genome assembly.